Molecule: transfer RNA, 72 nt
Organism: Camelus ferus (Wild Bactrian camel)
Lineage: Eukaryota; Metazoa; Chordata; Mammalia; Artiodactyla; Camelidae
Rfam family: tRNA
About the family: Transfer RNA (tRNA) molecules are approximately 80 nucleotides in length. Their secondary structure includes four short double-helical elements and three loops (D, anti-codon, and T loops). Further hydrogen bonds mediate the characteristic L-shaped molecular structure. tRNAs have two regions of fundamental functional importance: the anti-codon, which is responsible for specific mRNA codon recognition, and the 3' end, to which the tRNAs corresponding amino acid is attached (by aminoacyl-tRNA synthetases). tRNAs cope with the degeneracy of the genetic code in two manners: having more than one tRNA (with a specific anti-codon) for a particular amino acid; and 'wobble' base-pairing, i.e. permitting non-standard base-pairing at the 3rd anti-codon position.
Source: Rfam
GUGGGUAUAGCUCAGUGGCAGAGCUCAAGCCUAGCAUGCAGGAGGUCCUGGGCUCAAUCCCCAGUACCUCCA